This is a long non-coding RNA of Mercenaria mercenaria, 2222 nucleotides long. RefSeq lists it as uncharacterized. NCBI's taxonomy places the organism in Eukaryota, Metazoa, Mollusca, Bivalvia, Venerida, Veneridae. The transcript is spliced from 4 exons. The record is from RefSeq and is a predicted model, not a curated record.
UAGGAUCCCUCCAAAUACCACCCCCCCCUCCCCUCCUCUCAGGUUGUACCAAAAAAACUGCUUCCACAGGGAGGGGGUGGAUAUUUUCUGGAAUAGCCCAAUAUUACAAGAUAUUGUACAUUGUUUAAACUGUCACAGAUGUGAACAAUUUAAUAAUUACAUGGUCAUUAUGCACAGUGGAAUCUAUGAAAAUUGAAAAUUAUAGUACAAUAACACAGGAAAAGUGGUGUUUUAAAUUGUCACUUUUUGUUGUAAUUAUAGCAACUAAAAUAGACCUCCUGAAAAUUUCUUAAAAAUUCUACAUGCAAAUUACAAUAAAAACUACUUUUUACAUUCUCACUACUGCCAUUACUGGUAGACCGCAUGCUGGUAGGCUACUAAAUAAAUGAGAAAUUCUUUUUUUAUAUUUUUCAGGAUAACCUCCAGCAGUAAGAAAUAUAAGGGCUCACUGCAGUUUUGAGUGCUCAACAAGUAUUGACCCCAUACUAUGCUCAGCAAGUAGGGCCCUUGUAUUUCUGUGAAUCCUCAUGCAGUACAGUACUGCUGUUGGAAGAGGAGCAAACAGUGUGGUAUCUAUGGUCCACCAUCACUUCAAGCAUCAUGGUUAUGGAAAAAAGAAUGUUUCAUUUACAUAUGGACAAUUAUAGUGGACAAAAUAAGAAAAGUGUUGUAAUAAGCUAUGGAAUGUGGCUCGUUAUGAUGGGUCUACAUGAUGACUUGGAGUACAACCUGAUUGAGGCCCGGCAUACAGAAUUCAGUCCUGAACAUGUUUAGAAUGUCUUCUGCAUGACCUGGUUAAGAUAGUAUUCUUGAAGGAUUAUAACUUCAACACAGAGACGGAGAUUAAUAUUUUUAGGCAGGGGGUUGGCAUGACAGGCAAAUUCACCAACCAUAUUACCAUUCCUGAGCUGGAUGCCAGUCGACAGUGGUACCUGUAUAAUGAAAUAGCGCCCCUUUGCAGCAACAGCAAUGUAUGCUCAAAACCAGCAGUGUCAAAGCCAUUAAAAUUGAUAAUUCAAGUCAUUUAAAACGAAGAAUGAAUUGAAAAAGUGUUUAACAUUUAAAGUAAUACAGACAAAGAGCUCUGAAAUUUUGAUUAAUUUGAAAGUGUUUUUGAUUUUUUGAAGAUGUACUAGACCCAAAUUCCAUAUAUUUGAAAAAGAACAAAUGAUACAUAUAGUUUACGUAAACAUUGAAUUAACAACUUUAUGGUGUCAACAGUACUAUGCAUUUGUUAAAUAUUGACUCACUAUAUACAUGUAAGGCUGAACACAGUAUAAAUGUGAAAUUCCUCUAAAAUACGGGAAGAUUUUUCAACAAUAAUUGUAACAUAUAUGGUAGUAAUGUUACUAAUGUACUUUUUCAUUACGACAGUUGGAUUAUAUAGAUCUACGAAUAUUUUCUGCUGUAUUCAAACUGCAUGUAAUCAUUUCUGUCGACAGUAUCAUGUUUAUUUUCCCUUUUCAUGAACAAUUAAUUUAACCUGUCUUGAAAGCACAAUAUAUGUAUAAUUUGUAAAACAUAAAUUGGGUUAUUGUGGAAACAAUUUAGUUUUUGUAUGCCUUAUUAUAUAUUAUUGCCGUUAGUAUUAUCUAACUCUUUUAAUAUGAUCAAGACAUUUAAUAAGGCAUUUUUCUUAAACUAUUACUGUGUGUUAAAUGAGAUUAUGUAGUAUUAUGUUUACGGAAUUAACUGCGUAACCAUGGAAACAUUUUUCUGUUGUUCUAUAUUAUGUCUUGAAAAAAACAUUGUUUGAAGAACACUUUUCAGUGGUGCAUUUUUUUUUAUUUUUACAUGUAAUGGUAAAUGCUGAAAGUGUUGUACAAUAACUUAGCAAAAACGUCAUUGUUGUCUCAUUGAAGCAUAUACUGCAACUCUAUUGUAACCAUAGCAACAGAAAUAUAUUGUAUUAUUUAUGAAUAAUGAUCUUCACAAACAAAUUACAUAUGUAUUUUUUCUUAAAGAAUGACCUAAAUUUGUUUUAUUCCAUAAAAAACAGACAUAGCAAAUAUUCUCAUUUUUAUCUCCGUUUCCAUGGCAACCAUAUAAUUUUUUGCCUCAAAUUAUAGGCUUUGCUUAGGGUUAUAUCUUAGCAUAUCUGAAUGUUAAUUAUACGUUCUGAUGUAAUUGUUAUAAGAGAUUUUCGUGUUUCCAUAAAGAAAAUCAAUCGGUUGCCAUGGCAACAGCACAAUUUCAAAUGAAUUAAAAUAUGAGAUUUUGCA